Molecule: unclassified non-coding RNA, 232 nt
Filed under: uncultured fungus
Lineage: Eukaryota; Fungi
Description: sequence contains ITS1
Source: RNAcentral
GUAUUGUAUUGCGUUAAACGCGACGUACAUUCCAUGAGACCUUAUUACAGUGUGUGUGUAAAGACGUAGGACCACGGCAAGGGAACAGGGUCCCCAAGGCCACAGAACUACAGAGGGUGCACAGGUGUGAGUGGAUAUGUAAACAGAGCGUGCACACGCCCCCUUUCGAGGGCCAGCAACAGCUCGUGUCGACGGUUCGGUAAUGAUCCUUCCGCAGGUUCACCUACGGAAA